GGAUGCAAUCAUACCUACUAUUGUAGCGGAUCCCAUCAGAACUUCGAAGUUAAGCAUGUUUGGGCAAGAGUAGUACUAGGAUGGGUGACCUCCUAGGAAGUCCUCAUGUUGCAUUCU
This is a non-coding RNA of Triticum aestivum (bread wheat), 117 nucleotides long. Lineage: Eukaryota; Viridiplantae; Streptophyta; Magnoliopsida; Poales; Poaceae. The record is from Rfam.